GACGAACGCUGGCGGCGUGCUUAACGCAUGCAAGUCGUACGGUAAGGCCCUUUCGGGGGUACACGAGUGGCGAACGGGUGAGUAACACGUGAGUAACCUGCCCACAACUUUGGGAUAACGCUAGGAAACUGGUGCUAAUACUGGAUAUGUGCUCCUGCUGCAUGGUGGGGGUUGGAAAGCUCCGGCGGUUGUGGAUGGACUCGCGGCCUAUCAGCUUGUUGGUGGGGUAGUGGCCUACCAAGGCGGCGACGGGUAGCCGGCCUGAGAGGGUGACCGGCCACAUUGGGACUGAGAUACGGCCCAGACUCCUACGGGAGGCAGCAGUGGGGAAUAUUGCACAAUGGGCGCAAGCCUGAUGCAGCAACGCCGCGUGCGGGAUGACGGCCUUCGGGUUGUAAACCGCUUUCAGCAGGGACGAAGCUUUUUGUGACGGUACCUGCAGAAGAAGCACCGGCUAACUACGUG
This 465-nucleotide ribosomal RNA is filed under the name uncultured bacterium. RNAcentral describes it as "partial 16S ribosomal RNA". It matches the Rfam family "Bacterial small subunit ribosomal RNA", at positions 28 to 507 of the family's 1533-position model. The record is from RNAcentral.